AUUGAACGCUAGCGGGAUGCUUUACACAUGCAAGUCGAACGGCAGCGCGGACUUCGGUCUGGCGGCGAGUGGCGAACGGGUGAGUAAUGUAUCGGAACGUGCCCAGUAGCGGGGGAUAACUACGCGAAAGCGUAGCUAAUACCGCAUACGCCCUACGGGGGAAAGCCGGGGAUCGUAAGACCUUGCACUAUUGGAGCGGCCGAUAUCGGAUUAGCUAGUUGGUGAGGUAACGGCUCACCAAGGCGACGAUCCGUAGCUGGUUUGAGAGGACGACCAGCCACACUGGGACUGAGACACGGCCCAGACUCCUACGGGAGGCAGCAGUGGGGAAUUUUGGACAAUGGGGGCAACCCUGAUCCAGCCAUCCCGCGUGUGCGAUGAAGGCCUUCGGGUUGUAAAGCACUUUUGGCAGGAAAGAAACGACGCGGGCUAAUACCCCGUGGAACUGACGGUACCUGCAGAAUAAGCACCGGCUAACUACGUG
This 484-nucleotide ribosomal RNA is filed under the name uncultured bacterium. Its description in RNAcentral is "partial 16S ribosomal RNA". It matches the Rfam family "Bacterial small subunit ribosomal RNA", at positions 30 to 507 of the family's 1533-position model. The record is from RNAcentral.